UACAGAGGUGGCAAGCGUUGUUCGGAAUUACUGGGCGUAAAGGGCGCGUAGGCGGCCUUCUAAGUCAGACGUGAAAUCCCCCGGCUUAACCUGGGAACUGCGUCUGAUACUGGAGGGCUUGAGUGCGGGAGAGGGAUGUGGAAUUCCAGGUGUAGCGGUGAAAUGCGUAGAUAUCUGGAGGAACACCGGUGGCGAAGGCGGCAUCCUGGACUGCAACUGACACUGAAGAACGAAAGCCAGGGGAGCAAACGGG
Molecule: ribosomal RNA, 253 nt
Filed under: uncultured bacterium
Lineage: Bacteria
Description: partial 16S ribosomal RNA
Rfam family: Bacterial small subunit ribosomal RNA
Source: RNAcentral